GACGAACGCUGGCGGCGUGCUUAACACAUGCAAGUCGAACGGAAAGGCCCUGCUUUUGUGGGGUGCUCGCGUGGCGAACGGGUGAGUAACACGUGAGUAACCUGCCCUUGACUUUGGGAUAACUUCAGGAAACUGGGGCUAAUACCGGAUAGGAGCUCCUGCUGCAUGGUGGGGGUUGGAAAGUUUCGGCGGUUGGGGAUGGACUCGCGGCUUAUCAGCUUGUUGGUGGGGUAGUGGCUUACCAAGGCUUUGACGGGUAGCCGGCCUGAGAGGGUGACCGGCCACAUUGGGACUGAGAUACGGCCCAGACUCCUACGGGAGGCAGCAGUGGGGAAUAUUGCACAAUGGGCGGAAGCCUGAUGCAGCAACGCCGCGUGCGGGAUGACGGCCUUCGGGCUGUAAACCGCUUUCGCCUGUGACGAAGCGUGAGUGACGGUAAUGGGUAAAGAAGCACCGGCUAACUACGUG
Molecule: ribosomal RNA, 468 nt
Filed under: uncultured bacterium
Lineage: Bacteria
Description: partial 16S ribosomal RNA
Rfam family: Bacterial small subunit ribosomal RNA
Source: RNAcentral